This is a long non-coding RNA of Oreochromis aureus, 705 nucleotides long. RefSeq lists it as uncharacterized. NCBI's taxonomy places the organism in Eukaryota, Metazoa, Chordata, Actinopteri, Cichliformes, Cichlidae. The record is from RefSeq and is a predicted model, not a curated record. The transcript is spliced from 3 exons.
CGCUGAAACCGGAGAAAUAAAACGUGCGAGGGGAACGAUAACGACGACGAGAGUCUCCCGAUCGUUUACUCUUCCUGUCCUGUGAACAACACCGGCGUGGGGUUAAUUGUUUGUCAUUUUCGCGAUCGCGUCGCACAUGAGGAUAUCACCAGCACUUUGCACAUAAUACUAUAAAUAUAAGGAGGAAGCCUGAGGCCCUGCAGCAGACUCACAGACGGAUGCAGAGGGGAGGAGUGUGGAGGUGUGUGCUGUGUGUUUGGAGGAGGGACUCCUUCAGUUAGAGAAGUGAGGCGUCACAAGUUCCUGGUUUCCAGUGAAGAAGAAGAGAGGCAGCAGUAAACCAUCAGAGCCUCAUCAUGAAAGUCCAUCACACUCUGAUCUGCUUCUUCUUCCUUUCUCUGCAGGAUGGAAACCCUGAAGUCACCAAUGCUCAGAUUCUUCACUAUGGAGUCAUUGGAGGAGAUUUUAAAGCUGGAUUCUCCUUUAAUUCUCCAGGAACAUGGAAGAUGUUCUGCAGAGAACAAUGUGAAGGAGAAAACAUUCUCAUUAAAACAACUGAUGUCAGAGCUCAAACAGGCAGAUACAGCAUUGAAUAUGAAAACAAUGUUUUAUCUGUGAGCAUCUCAAAGCUGACUGAGUCUGACUCUGGACAGUACAGCUGUGGUUUGGGUGGAUCUUCAUCAUCAGCUCCAUUCACACCGCUUG